Molecule: ribosomal RNA, 274 nt
Filed under: uncultured bacterium
Lineage: Bacteria
Description: partial 16S ribosomal RNA
Rfam family: Bacterial small subunit ribosomal RNA
Source: RNAcentral
AUACGGAGGGGGCAAGCGUUGUUCGGAUUUAUUGGGCGUAAAGGGCACGCAGGCUGAUUGCUAAGUUAGAUGUAUAAUCGUCAGGCUCAACCUGAUAUCUGCAUCUAAAACUGGCAGUCUAGAGUAUUGGAGAGGAAAGCGGAAUUCUCGGUGUAGCGGUGGAAUGCGUAGAUAUCGAGAGGAACACCAAUGGCGAAGGCAGCUUUCUGGACAAAUACUGACGCUCAGGUGCGAAAGCGUGGGGAGCAAACAGGAUUAGAAACCCCGGUAGUCC